UACGUAGGUGGCAAGCGUUGUCCGGAUUUACUGGGCGUAAAGCGUGCGCAGGCGGCUUUGCAAGACAGAUGUGAAAUCCCCGGGCUCAACCUGGGAACUGCAUUUGUGACUGCAUGGCUGGAGUGCGGCAGAGGGGGAUGGAAUUCCGCGUGUAGCAGUGAAAUGCGUAGAUAUGCGGAGGAACACCGAUGGCGAAGGCAAUCCCCUGGGCCUGCACUGACGCUCAUGCACGAAAGCGUGGGGAGCAAACAGG
RNAcentral lists this ribosomal RNA (253 nucleotides) under uncultured bacterium. Its description in RNAcentral is "partial 16S ribosomal RNA". It matches the Rfam family "Bacterial small subunit ribosomal RNA", at positions 524 to 776 of the family's 1533-position model. The record is from RNAcentral.